CCUACGGGUGGCAGCAGUGGGGGAUAUUGCACAAUGGAGGGAACUCUGAUGCAGCGACGCCGCGUGAGGGAAGAAGGUUUUCGGAUUGUAAACCUCUGUCUUCGGUGACGAAACGAGACGGUAGCCGAGGAGGAAGCCACGGCUAACUACGUGCCAGCAGCCGCGGUAAUACGUAGGUGGCAAGCGUGGUCCGGAAUUACUGGGUGAAAAGGGAGCGUAGGCGGGAAAGCAAGUUGAAUGUUUAAGGUAUGGGCUCAACCUGUACAAGCGUUCAAAACUGUUUUUCUUGAGUGGAGUAGAGGUAAGCGGAAUUCCUAGUGUAGCGGUGAAAUGCGUAAAUAUUAGGAGGAACACCAGUGGCGAAGGCGACUAUCUGGCACAUAACUGACGCUGAGGAGCGAAAGCGUGGGUAGCAAACAGGAUUAGAUACCCGAGUAGUC
RNAcentral lists this ribosomal RNA (440 nucleotides) under uncultured bacterium. RNAcentral describes it as "partial 16S ribosomal RNA". It matches the Rfam family "Bacterial small subunit ribosomal RNA", at positions 338 to 795 of the family's 1533-position model. The record is from RNAcentral.